GAUGAACGCUGGCGGUAUGCUUAACACAUGCAAGUCGAACGGACUCUUCGGAGUUAGUGGCGGACGGGUGAGUAACGCGUGAGAAUCUGGCUUUGGGUUCGGGACAACCACUGGAAACGGUGGCUAAUACCGGAUGUGGCUAGAGGUAAAAGAGAAAUUGCCUGAAGAUGAGCUCGCGUCUGAUUAGCUAGUUGGUGAGGUAAAGGCUCACCAAGGCAGCGAUCAGUAGCUGGUCUGAGAGGAGGACCAGCCACACUGGGACUGAGACACGGCCCAGAAGCCUACGGGAGGCAGCAGUGGGGAAUUUUCCGCAAUGGGCGAAAGCCUGACGGAGCAAUACCGCGUGAGGGAAGAAGGAGUUUGGGGUGUAAAACUCUUUUCUUAGGGAAGAACAAAAUGACGGUACCUAAGGAAUCAGCAUCGGCUAACUCCGUG
RNAcentral lists this ribosomal RNA (435 nucleotides) under uncultured bacterium. RNAcentral's name for it is "partial 16S ribosomal RNA". It matches the Rfam family "Bacterial small subunit ribosomal RNA", at positions 28 to 507 of the family's 1533-position model. The record is from RNAcentral.